CAUGUGUAGUUUGAAUACAUAUACCACCACUCUUUGUGAGGAAGCGUUGCCUUUAUAACACAUAAAUGCUCUUAAAUGGGUGUCUACAGUAGUGGAGGAUGAAAGGAUGCACAUAUUCAAAUGUCUUAUUUAGCUGGAUCUUGUCAAAUGAUUAUGAUCGACUAGUUGGGAAAUGUAUCAUUUGAGUGGUACUAACAAAACAAUUUUUAUUGAGUUGCUGGGGUGACACAUGUUGCUGGCUUCGUUUCUGUAUAGCACCUUACAAACUAAAAUUCAGUUUCCAGUUUGUUUCUUUAUGCAUGUUCAUGAACUAAAUUAAGUUCACUGGUAUUUUAUGAUCUCCUUGGCAUAUCUUGCUCUUCUAGCAUGUAAUUAAUCUUAUGGUGGCUAGCUUCUUCCAUCUUGUACUCAAAUUCUCUUUUUUUUCCUCCCUUUGCCCUUCAAAAAUUAGUUUUAAAUUCUGUACAACUGCAACUGGGAGAUGGAAAUAGAAGGUUUUCUUGCACUCAUCAUGGUACCCGGACAUAGUAGUGUUAGCUAAUAUGGUUGUUUUUUCACAUCAUUUCAAUUUUAUUGCAUCAGUA
Molecule: long non-coding RNA, 584 nt
Organism: Populus euphratica (Euphrates poplar)
Lineage: Eukaryota; Viridiplantae; Streptophyta; Magnoliopsida; Malpighiales; Salicaceae
Exons: 2
Source: RefSeq, a predicted model, not a curated record